GACGAACGCUGGCGGCGUGCCUAAUACAUGCAAGUGGGACGCAAGGACACACACUGUGCUUGCACACCGUGUUUUCUUGAGUCGCGAACGGGUGGGUAACGCGUAGGUAACCUGCCUAUUAGCGGGGGAUAACUAUUGGAAACGAUAGCUAAUACCGCAUAAUAUUAAUUAUUGCAUGAUAAUUGAUUGAAAGAUGCAAGCGCAUCACUAGUAGAUGGACCUGCGUUGUAUUAGCUAGUUGGUAAGGUAAGAGCUUACCAAGGCGACGAUACAUAGCCGACCUGAGAGGGUGGUCGGCCACACUGGGACUGAGACACGGCCCAGACUCCUACGGGAGGCAGCAGUAGGGAAUCUUCGGCAAUGGACGAAAGUCUGACCGAGCAACGCCGCGUGAGUGAAGAAGGUUUUCGGAUCGUAAAGCUCUGUUGUAAGUCAAGAACGUGUGUGAGAGUGGAAAGUUCACACAGUGACGGUAGCUUACCAGAAAGGUACGGCUAACUACGUG
This 505-nucleotide ribosomal RNA is filed under the name uncultured bacterium. RNAcentral's name for it is "partial 16S ribosomal RNA". It matches the Rfam family "Bacterial small subunit ribosomal RNA", at positions 28 to 507 of the family's 1533-position model. The record is from RNAcentral.